Molecule: ribosomal RNA, 511 nt
Filed under: uncultured bacterium
Lineage: Bacteria
Description: bacterial SSU rRNA
Rfam family: Bacterial small subunit ribosomal RNA
Source: RNAcentral
GAUCCUGGCUUAGGAUGAACGCUAGCGACAGGCUUAACACAUGCAAGUCGAGGGGCAGCAUAAAAGUAGCAAUACUUUGGUGGCGACCGGCGCACGGGUGAGUAACGCGUAUGCAACCUACCUAUCAGAGGGGAAUAACCCGGCGAAAGUCGGACUAAUACCGCAUAAAACAGGGACACCGCAUGGUGAUAUUUGUUAAAGAAAUUCGCUGAUAGAUGGGCAUGCGUUCCAUUAGGUAGUUGGUGAGGUAACGGCUCACCAAGCCGACGAUGGAUAGGGGAACUGAGAGGUUGGUCCCCCACACUGGUACUGAGACACGGACCAGACUCCUACGGGAGGCAGCAGUGAGGAAUAUUGGUCAAUGGGCGAGAGCCUGAACCAGCCAAGUCGCGUGAAGGAAGAAGGAUCUAUGGUUCGUAAACUUCUUUUGCAGGGGAAUAAAGUGCAGGACGUGUCCUGUUUUGUAUGUACCCUGAGAAUAAGGAUCGGCUAACUCCGUGCCAGCCGCCGC